RNAcentral lists this long non-coding RNA (1272 nucleotides) under Homo sapiens (human). RNAcentral describes it as "HSALNT0063853". The record is from RNAcentral. Lineage: Eukaryota; Metazoa; Chordata; Mammalia; Primates; Hominidae.
AGAACACCACCAUGACCACCUCCAAGGUGACUAUAGACGUCCUGUGAGCCAACACAAUGUCUUCUUCAUUCCUAUGUUCCUCAGACACAGCACAGAGCCACACGAACGGAAGCAUAAAAACAACUUACAAUUCUCAAUUUAGAAGAUCUUACUUUAAUGGGAGCUCAUAUUUAUACUCCUCCCAAGACACACACACAAUAGUCUCUGUACAUACCGUUAAAUUUAGUCCUUUUUUCUUUUUCAAAAAGGAAGCAUCUGGAAUGCUUCAAUAACGAAAAAAGUACAUGGUAAGUGGAUGGUGACUGAAAUUUUGAGAUAAGGGCAUACCGUUAAAUUUAGAAAUCAGAUGAAACUUUCCUUCAGAAAAGAUCUGAAUAAUAAUAUACUCUAUUAAAGGAAUGAUUUGAUGUUUUUAAAAAUAAUCCAGGGAAACAGAAACUUCUAAAAAUUUCACAGCAGCCUAAGACUUGAAAAAAAUAAUAAAGUGCUAAGGCUGAUAUGUCUGAAGCCAUCAUAUCUAUAGCUCCAUGUUACAAUGGUAAAUGUGCCACAGAAACAAAUUUGUCUUGGGAAUUUUCACAGCAAAAAAUAUCACAGUCUGGUGACAGUGAAAUGGGAAAGGUUCCCUUGUCCCCCUGGCAGGGCGUGCGAUGGGGGAGUGGCUUGCUUCUUCAGUGCCAGGCUGCUCAAACCUCUAGGGAAGCAUACAUACGGGCAGGUCAUGGGGCUUCCACCCCACAGCAGUGUCUAGGAGUGAAUGUUUGCAGCUGAAGCCCCAGUGGGCGUGUGUUACAGGGUGCUCUUUUAGUUGGCCAUCUAUAGGCAGCUUGUGUUAACCAGCUCAAUUAGAACCCCUUCCUUAUCACAAGGACAGAGGGAUUCUGUAUCCCGGAGUUUCUUGCCUUGGUUUACCAGAAGAAUUGGAUCACACAUAGGCUUGGAGAAUGAGUGCAAAGUUUUAUUGAGUGGAAGUAGCUCUCAGCCUGAUGGGGAGCCAGAAGGGAGGGGAUCUUCACCUGGAGUUGGGCCACUCGGCAGCCCCAGCUCUCCUGGCCAAACUCUGCCUCUUCCAGCACCUUGAUGGCCUGGCAGAGUGCCUGUGUUGGUUGGUCAGUGUGCUCUUCUGUCUAUGUGCUCCCCUCAACAUCCUCUCAAUGUCCAGCCGCUUGUCUUCUUCCGCCAAUGUGUCCCUCUCACAGUCCAGCAGCUUCUGUCUGCCUUGCUAGGGUCUCAGGUUUUUAUAGGCACAGGAGGGGGGCUUGGCGGGUCAGG